UACGUAGGGUGCAAGCGUUAAUCGGAAUUACUGGGCGUAAAGCGUGCGCAGGCGGUAAUGUAAGACAGUUGUGAAAUCCCCGGGCUCAACCUGGGAACUGCAUCUGUGACUGCAUUGCUGGAGUACGGUAGAGGGGGAUGGAAUUCCGCGUGUAGCAGUGAAAUGCGUAGAUAUGCGGAGGAACACCGAUGGCGAAGG
This 198-nucleotide ribosomal RNA is filed under the name uncultured Variovorax sp. RNAcentral's name for it is "partial 16S ribosomal RNA". It matches the Rfam family "Bacterial small subunit ribosomal RNA", at positions 524 to 721 of the family's 1533-position model. Lineage: Bacteria; Pseudomonadati; Pseudomonadota; Betaproteobacteria; Burkholderiales; Comamonadaceae. The record is from RNAcentral.